RNAcentral lists this ribosomal RNA (254 nucleotides) under uncultured bacterium. RNAcentral describes it as "partial 16S ribosomal RNA". It matches the Rfam family "Bacterial small subunit ribosomal RNA", at positions 524 to 776 of the family's 1533-position model. The record is from RNAcentral.
GACGGAGGGUGCUAGCGUUGUUCGGAAUCAGUGGGCGUAAAGGGCGCGUAGGCGGCCCAUGCCGUCGGCUCGUGAAAGCCCGGGGCUCAACCCCGGAGGUGCGGCCGAGACCCAUGGGCUGGAGGCCGGAGGAGGAGGGUGGAAUACCCAGUGUAGAGGUGAAAUUCGUAGAUAUUGGGUGGAACACCGGUGGCGAAAGCGGCUCUCUCGUUCGGUCCUGACGCUGAGGCGCGAAAGCGUGGGGAGCAAACAGG